This 90-nucleotide transfer RNA is filed under the name Ustulina deusta. RNAcentral's name for it is "Kretzschmaria deusta tRNA-Pro". It matches the Rfam family "tRNA". Rfam says of the family: Transfer RNA (tRNA) molecules are approximately 80 nucleotides in length. Their secondary structure includes four short double-helical elements and three loops (D, anti-codon, and T loops). The record is from RNAcentral. Lineage: Eukaryota; Fungi; Ascomycota; Sordariomycetes; Xylariales; Xylariaceae.
GGUCUGGUGGUCUAGUGGUAUGAUUCUCGCUUAGGGUUCACCCUAAAGCAAAUAUGCGAGAGGUCCCGGGUUCAAUCCCCGGCCAGACCC